ACACUUGUGAACUGAAGGUUGCCUGUAGUUAUGCCCUGCUGUCUGCUGGCCCUUCUUCUGGGCACUUUCUUGGGUGUCAGCGCUCAGACCAUCCAUCAAUGGCCACCCACCAGGGUGCAGCCUGCAGGCAGCCCGCUCUCUCUGGAGUGCACCGUGAAGGGGACGUCAAACCCCACCCUGUACUGGUACCGGCAGGAGGCAGGGGGGAGCCUCCAGCUGCUCUUCUACUCUGUUAGUGCUGAGGACAUAGAUCCCAGGGAGUUCCAGAACUUCGAAGCUUCCAGGCCCCAGGACGGCCAGUUUAUCCUGAGUUCUAAGAAGCUGCAGCUCAAUAACUCUGGCUUCUAUCUCUGCGCCUGGAGUCUCACACUGAGCUGGGUGGGGCAGACAUCUGUGCAAAAACCCCACCGUCAUCACCCCCUCCAGAAGCCCUCACUCAGGGACUAGGCAGAGGGUGUUUGUCACUGGGUUUCUGACUGUCAGCCAACGUGAGGGUGACAGACUCAAGCCAGAGUCUCCAAAAGAACUUUACUACGUUCUUGUUUCCUGUUUAGUCACCCAGUCGUGUCUGACUCUUUUGCGACCCCAUGGACUGCAGCCCGCCCGGCUCCUCUGUCCAUGGGAUUUCCCAGGCAAGAAUACUGGAGUGGGUUGCCAUUCCCUUCUCCAGGGAAUCUUCCCAAGCCAGGGAUUGAACCUGCGUCUCCUGCAUUGGCAGGUGGGUUCUUCACCACUGAGCCACCAGAGAAGCCCCACCACAUUCGUAGGGAGCAGGGGAAAGAUUUAUGUGUGGAGAACCAGUGAUAUGCAGGCACACAGUUAAGUUCCUGAUGUGCAGAUGUCUAGUCUAGGCUAUCAUGCUUCAGCCCUGAACGUGUGCUAUUCCUUGCCCAUCACCCUCUUCUCCCACAUUCCUGUGGGUCUACACUGGCGGCUGAGGUUGUGCUUAUGCUGACGAGAGACAGAGGAAUAGCAUGCACUGCACUGGGAUGUGAUGUGAUGGGAGACCAGUGAGCAACUCUGCGGAUGCCAACUCGGGUUACCUAAUUAGUAACUUUUCAUCACCUGGAAAAGUCCUUGCUGUUUCUGCGGAGAAUAGACACCUUGUGGAGGCUGGGAUGCGGCUUUGGGCCAGGGAAGGAGCAAGAUGUUAUUGUAGCAGCUACGAGAGUGAUUUUGUUAGUAUCAGAAAUGUGUACUUAGGAACGUUGAUUAUUGUUUGGGGUUUUAGAUUUUUUUUUUUUAAUUCCUGUUCUAUUGUGUCUCCUUCCUCUCCUUAUAGCAAUGGAGGGAGCAGAGAAGCAGAUGGUGAUCAAAGAGAUGCAAGAGACCAGAUAAAAAGAGCAUGUGUGUGUAAAGGCAAAGCCCUGAAAGAAAUUACUUGGAUGGAAAUAAAGAAGAAGAAAGACUUAUGGGGAUGGCUGGAAAGAGAUACCAUAGUUACCUUGGCAACUGAGCCUCCUUCCUCAUCCCACAGCCCCUCAUCCCUCCCUCCUCCUCCUCAUUCCUAAAAAGAUUUUCUUUUCUAAUGUCCCUUCUGUUCCACGAGGGGGCACAAGAAGUCUUAAAAUACUCUGUUCCUGGCAUCAUUUCAUUUAGGACAAUUCAGACAUUUGUUUGUUUUCAGUACCAUUUAACCUGCAGAAUAAAAUCAGACAGAGACACAAAGCAAUCAAGCCAGUAUUGAAUAAUGCCCAAGGGUCCUGUUGGUUCUUAAGGUCUACCAUGUUUUAAGCGGAUAUAUGUGCUGGACACUCAGAGCCAACACAGGGAUUAAAAAGAGGAAUGAAAUACACUCAAGAUGGUGCUGGGUAUGGUCACAGCAUGGUGUAGUUAAGACCCUCGCAAUUUGAGAUUAGCAGAUACAUACUACUGCAUACAAAAUAGACAAAUGCCAAGGUCCUACUGUACAGUACAGAGAACUAUAUUCAAUAUUCUAUAAUAAACCAUAAUGGAAAAGAAUAUGAAAAAGGAUAAAUAUAUAUACAUGUAUAACUGAGUCUCCUUGCUGUUACCAGAAGUUAACACAACAUUGUAAAUCAACUAUACUUCAAGAAAAAGAAUAAAAAAUAGAAGUUGCAGGAAAAAAACCAAGGCACUUGGUUGGUUUUUCCCCCCCGCCCAUGUGUGAAAAUUUAAAUUUACUAAGUCAAUCAGCAAUGCUUACAGCCAUAAAAAUAAAGGUGUAUUUACAACUCAAGUUUGGUUCACAUUUAGCAAUAAACAGCAUGUUAAGCCAA
Odocoileus virginianus texanus is the source of this 2240-nucleotide non-coding RNA. Lineage: Eukaryota; Metazoa; Chordata; Mammalia; Artiodactyla; Cervidae. The record is from the annotation of a RefSeq genome assembly.